Long non-coding RNA from Chroicocephalus ridibundus (black-headed gull), 1967 nucleotides. RefSeq lists it as uncharacterized. The transcript has 3 exons. NCBI's taxonomy places the organism in Eukaryota, Metazoa, Chordata, Aves, Charadriiformes, Laridae. The record is from RefSeq and is a predicted model, not a curated record.
GAAAAAAAGAAAAUCCCAGACAAAUGCCUUUCCCCAGGCGAAGGAGUAGGGCUGAAGACCUCCUGGAGGGAUGGCGUUCAGCCUGCAAACUUGUUUUCUCCUCCACAGAGUGUUGCAAUUGAGAUCGCUAAAUUGAUUCCUGAAUGACUGAACAGUUUGUCUAGGAAAACAGCAAGAGAGACUGAGCACAGAAUGAACACAGUCGGUGUGGUAUGAAGACAGAUAAAAGUAACUGUCUGUAGAAGGAUGGAUAAGAAAACAGAUUCGUUUUUGUUUUCACUGUCUUAGAACUUGAAUAAAAUGGAGUAUCAGCCUGUGCCAAAGUCUCCAUUUUGAAGACAAUUUGAGGUGCAUUGAUCCCCACGCAGUGCAUCUCUCUCCCUUCUUGUUGAUGCUGACCUCCCUUCUACCUCUUCACACCUUUUCCUGGUGGUGGAAGAGCCUCUUCCCACAGAUUGCUCAGAGUCUUCCUUUGGCAGCCUUUCCCCUUCCCUCUCCAUCUUUGUGCAAAUCUCUGAAAAGCUAUUUUAUCUCUUGCUAACAAGCUGGCGCUGAGCCAGUUCCUCAAAAUCAUUUUGCUGCUCUAAUGUUCUUUCGCAUAAUAGCAUGUAAUCUUCAUGCUGCUUGUAGCAAUUCAGUGCUUCUACGUGAAUCGCACACCUCUUAUUACUGCCUUUUCACACGGCGUACGCAGCAACCUCACCCUCUGCUGAAGCAGCCACUUGCGUCUAGCGUUUUACUGCAUUAGCAAUGCUUUCUAGCUUAUGGCAUCGCCACGGUUCUGCCUUGCCUACUGUAGAGAGCUAAUAAUGAGCAUGCAUCCAAACAUUAAUUGCUAUGCCUUGCUUUCAGUGUUGAUUUCUUUUCCUUACUAGAAUCCAUUGCAGGCAUAAGAAAAUCUCAGCAGUCUAUGAUUUUUGCAUUGCAAACUUUCAGCCAUACCCUAGGAUUAUAGUUCAUAUCUGCAAAUGAGCGAGGAGGGAAAAUAAUUCAGGAGAAUAGGUUCUUUUAAAAAAAAAGCCCGCAACAUUUUCUUAUGCUACAAAUGUUAAGGGAGAAGUUGUUCUUAUUGCUUGAAUAGGUUCAAGCGUGGCAGGGUAUGUCCUCGGGCUCACCGCUGCGCGGAGGGUGUUUCUGUGGGUGCUCCCUCCCUGCCUGGACAGCCUGAGGAAAGCAUCAGCCCCCUGCACCCAUGUAUCCUUUGAGACCCACGAGGGUGCCAUCAGAUCCCACCUGUUUUAUCCCCAGCCUGGCAUCUAUCCUGCAGAGGGAUCUCCGUGGUCCCCAGGAAGCCUUACUGCUCAGCACCCAAGGGGCAACUCUGGGGCCACUGAGGUCCCAUCACCUCUCCAGGGCGUUGGGUUGGGGUCCCGAAGGAGGGGUGUUACUGAGACUGUUCCCCACUGCAGGUGCUGGCAUUCCUUGUGGCCACUGAGCAGAAGGGCACAUCCCCAGGAGGUCCUAGAAUAGGAGAGAAGGAUGUCUCCAAGCGCACCUUGUGCCAUGCCAGGGGUGAACUGGUUGCUCUCGUUUAACUGCCCUGACGCAAGGAGCUCUUUCCCCAGAGGACGCAUUGUGAGAAAUGAAGAGUUUCCAAUAAGCUGCUUCCUCCGGCCUGUGUUGAAAAACGUGAUGGAGUUCUGUUUGUCUGCACCACCUGGAUUUGCAGAUCAAGGAUUUUACUCAGCCUUGAAAGAUGCAGCCAUCUUCUAAGGCCUUGGUGUUGCUGUGGUAUUCAUGUGGCAGCAUAAGCACAGUCCCCUUCUGGGGUGAACAAUGCUUCCCAGAGCUCCUGCAGCGCAACACAGGUGGAUCCCAAGGCGUCUUGGGAAGAAUCAAAGAUGCAGAGAAGGAACAUACAAUCUUACGCACCUGCUGUAACACAGCAACUCAGUGCCCACCAGCACAGCGUGGGCUCGUUUAUUUAAAUGGCCGUGGGAGCAAGAGACCUUUGUUAAGAUCACAAA